UACAAAAUGUACAAAAUUCAAAACCCACCACUCUUAGUUUUUUAUUUUUUUUUAUUUUUUUGAGGAAUGCUUCAAUACACCAUAAAUAUUAAAAUUUAAUCUCUUAAUUAAUAAAAGGUAUAGUUGGGAUUUAUAUGAAAUAACCUGUUGAACAGGUUACCAAUUUGAAUUAGUUAAUAUUAGAAAAAAAUUAUUAUAUACCAAAUUUGUAAAUAUCCUUUAAAUAUUAAAUAUCUUAUCUACUUUGAUAACUUACCAAAUUAGACGAUACCCAAUUUAUUAAGGUAGCGUUUGGUUGGGGAACAAGGGGGGAAUAAGCCCUUGUUCCCCCCUUUGUUCCCAAGUAUAUAGCUCAAAAAAAAUAUUGAAUUUAAAUUUAAUUUUUGAAAUUGGUAUUGUAAUGUAAAAUUUUAAUUU
RNAcentral lists this long non-coding RNA (417 nucleotides) under Ananas comosus (pineapple). RNAcentral's name for it is "long non-coding RNA (ACOM_LNC022442)". The record is from RNAcentral. Lineage: Eukaryota; Viridiplantae; Streptophyta; Magnoliopsida; Poales; Bromeliaceae.